UAUAUAAGUAGGUAAUUUAUAUAACAUCAUAGCAGGUACAGAACUGUGUUCUUGUACAACUUGCAUUUUAAAAAAGUGCUCUUUGUUCACGUAAGGGGUCAUGAAGAUCUUACUUUCGUGUUAUUUUUCUCGGAAGGGUUAUGAUGACUAUAUAAUAAUCAGACAUAGUACGCUAAGGUUGUAUGUCUAAAGGGAAACAGCCCAGAACAAGAGUUAAUAAGGUUCCAAAAUUAUUGUUAAGUGAAAAUAAGGAAGUUUGCAUCCAAUUCGGUCAGGAGAUAGGCUUGGAUGCGGCCAUUUUUUAAAGACCUCGUAACAGAGCACUGGUUUAGUAAAUUAUUUUUAUAGUUUACAUUGAUAAGAGCACCAAAAAUUUAACGGAUCUAAACAAUAUACCGAGACCUUGUCCAUAUUUAUAUAUAUAUCUAAGUUGUAUAUUGUAUUUAUGGGGUAGCGGAACAUUGGGCAAAUCUAAGAUUUUUUCUUUAGAAGACUUAAGAUAAGAUAACCCAAGUGAUAAUGCUGACAUGAGUAACGAUAAAGGGAAUAAACUAUUCCCUCGCCUAAAACUUAUGGUAUUUACUUAAAGUAACGGCCUCUAAGUUUGUGGUCCUAAAGGACUAAACGAUGAGAAAAUCUAUACCCUUAGAUAAAUAACCUUUGAAGUGACAAGGGUUCUGGAAAAUCUAAGGGGAUGCAUCAUGGAUAACAGGGAGGACGCAAUUUCCUGCCUGCUAUGAUGUAAAACCAAGUACCGUACCUAGAAACUACCCCCAGUAAGUUAGUAGAGAAUACGAAGGCGUUUGAGUGAACAAUCAUUAAGG
This 824-nucleotide ribosomal RNA is filed under the name Umbilicaria mammulata. Its description in RNAcentral is "partial large subunit ribosomal RNA". It matches the Rfam family "Bacterial large subunit ribosomal RNA", at positions 867 to 1710 of the family's 2925-position model. Lineage: Eukaryota; Fungi; Ascomycota; Lecanoromycetes; Umbilicariales; Umbilicariaceae. The record is from RNAcentral.